This 559-nucleotide ribosomal RNA is filed under the name uncultured bacterium. Its description in RNAcentral is "partial 16S ribosomal RNA". It matches the Rfam family "Bacterial small subunit ribosomal RNA", at positions 355 to 912 of the family's 1533-position model. The record is from RNAcentral.
UAAGGAAUAUUGGUCAAUGGACGCAAGUCUGAACCAGCCAUGCCGCGUGAAGGAUGAAGGUCCUCUGGAUUGUAAACUUCUUUUAUGUGGGAAGAAAUCACUCUUUUCUAAGGGUGUUGACGGUACCAUAGGAAUAAGCACCGGCUAACUCCGUGCCAGCAGCCGCGGUAAUACGGAGGGUGCAAGCGUUAUCCGGAUUCACUGGGUUUAAAGGGUGCGUAGGCGGAAUUGUAAGUCCGUGGUGAAAUCUCCAAGCUUAACUUGGAAACUGCCGUGGAUACUAUAGUUCUUGAAUGUUGUGGAGGUUUGCGGAAUAUGUCAUGUAGCGGUGAAAUGCUUAGAUAUGACAUAGAACACCGAUUGCGAAGGCAGCAGGCUACACAAAUAUUGACGCUGAGGCACGAAAGCGUGGGGAUCAAACAGGAUUAGAUACCCUGGUAGUCCACGCCCUAAACGAUGAUUACUCGACAUACGCGAUAUACAGUGUGUGUCUGAGCGAAAGCAUUAAGUAAUCCACCUGGGAAGUACGACCGCAAGGUUGGAACUCUAAAGUGAAUUG